ACUCCUACGGGAGGCAGCAGUGGGAAUAUUGCACAAUGGGCGCAAGCCUGAUGCAGCCAUGCCGCGUGUAUGAAGAAGGCCUUCGGGUUGUAAAUGUACUUUCAGCAGUGAGGAAGGCGGUGACGUUAAUAGCGUGCUCGUUUUGACGUAGCUGCAGAAAGAAGCACCGGCUAACUCCGUGCCAGCAGCCGCGGUAAUACGGAGGGUGCGAGCGUUAAUCGGAAUUACUGGGCGUAAAGCGCAUGCAGGUGGUUUGUUAAGUCAGAUGUGAAAGCCCGGGGCUCAACCUCGGAAUAGCAUUUGAAACUGGCAGACUAGAGUACUGUAGAGGGGGUAGAAUUUCAGGUGUAGCGGUGAAAUGCGUAGAGAUCUGAAGGAAUACCGGUGGCGAAGGCGGCCCCCUGGACAGAUACUGACACUCAGAUGCGAAAGCGUGGGGAGCAAACAGGAUUAGAUACCCUGGUAGGCUC
RNAcentral lists this ribosomal RNA (470 nucleotides) under uncultured bacterium. Its description in RNAcentral is "bacterial SSU rRNA". It matches the Rfam family "Bacterial small subunit ribosomal RNA", at positions 335 to 796 of the family's 1533-position model. The record is from RNAcentral.